ACUCAUAUAGUCCAGUGGCUAAGACGCCUUGAAUUGUUGUAGUAGAUCUCAUUCUCACAUGUCAAUAUUCCAAGGAGGCGGGGGUUCGAUUCCUCCUGUGAGUA
This is a non-coding RNA of Rhodocollybia butyracea, 104 nucleotides long. The record is from the annotation of a GenBank genome assembly. Lineage: Eukaryota; Fungi; Basidiomycota; Agaricomycetes; Agaricales; Omphalotaceae.